CCCUUAGAUGUUCGGGGCUGCACCUGCGCUACACUGAAGGAAUCAACGUGUAUUUGCCCUUGCCCGAAAGGGUUGGGUAACCCGUUGAACCUCCUUCGUGCUAGGGAUUGGGGCUUGUAAUUAUUCCCCAUGAACGAGGAAUUCCCAGUAAGCGCGAGUCAUAAGCUCGCGUUGAUUACGUCCCUGCCCUUUGUACACACCGCCCGUCGCUACUACCGAUUGAAUGGUUUAGUGAGAUCCUCGGAUUGGUCCCGCCACGGGAGGAAACUUUCGAGGCGGAGUGCCGAGAAGACGAUCAAACUUGAUCAUUUAGAGGAAGUAAAAGUCGUAACA
Molecule: ribosomal RNA, 333 nt
Filed under: uncultured eukaryote
Lineage: Eukaryota
Description: partial 18S ribosomal RNA
Rfam family: Eukaryotic small subunit ribosomal RNA
Source: RNAcentral